This 496-nucleotide ribosomal RNA is filed under the name uncultured bacterium. RNAcentral describes it as "partial 16S ribosomal RNA". It matches the Rfam family "Bacterial small subunit ribosomal RNA", at positions 28 to 507 of the family's 1533-position model. The record is from RNAcentral.
GAUGAACGCUGGCGGCGUGCCUAAUACAUGCAAGUCGAACGCUGAAGGAGGAGCUUGCUCUUUCCGGAUGAGUUGCGAACGGGUGAGUAACGCGUAGGUAACCUGCCUGGUAGCGGGGGAUAACUAUUGGAAACGAUAGCUAAUACCGCAUAACAGUAGAUAUUGCAUGAUAUUUGCUUGAAAGGGGCAAUUGCUCCACUACCAGAUGGACCUGCGUUGUAUUAGCUAGUUGGUGAGGUAACGGCUCACCAAGGCGACGAUACAUAGCCGACCUGAGAGGGUGAUCGGCCACACUGGGACUGAGACACGGCCCAGACUCCUACGGGAGGCAGCAGUAGGGAAUCUUCGGCAAUGGACGGAAGGCUGACCGAGCAACGCCGCGGGAGGGAAGAAGGGUUUCGGAUCGUAAAGCUCUGUUGUAAGGGAAGAACGAGUGUGAGAGUGGAAAGUUCACACUGUGACGGUAGCUUACCAGAAAGGGACGGCUAACUACGUG